GACGUAGGGCGCGAGCGUUGUCCGGAUUUAUUGGGCGUAAAGGGCUCGUAGGCGGCCAACUAAGUCAGACGUGAAAUCCCUCGGCUUAACCGGGGAACUGCGUCUGAUACUGGGUGGCUUGAAUCCGGGAGAGGGAUGCGGAAUUCCAGGUGUAGCGGUGAAAUGCGUAGAUAUCUGGAGGAACACCGGCGGCGAAGGCGGCUGCCUGGACCGGCCCUGACGCUGAGGCGCGAAAGCUAGGGGAGCAAACAGG
Molecule: ribosomal RNA, 253 nt
Filed under: uncultured bacterium
Lineage: Bacteria
Description: partial 16S ribosomal RNA
Rfam family: Bacterial small subunit ribosomal RNA
Source: RNAcentral